AUAAGGAAGAAAGCAAAGUUAGACAGAUAUCAAAACAGAGAUGUCGAGGAGGUGUGUGUUAGGUUGUGGCUCUCCCGAAACUCUUUUCACAUUCCCUAAAAUACCGUGGUUGCGGUCUCGAUGGCUCGACUUUUUGCAUUUUGAAGAAGGCGCGAUAUCAGAGAGUUCUCGGCUGUGCUCGAAACACUUUACACAAGAUUCCUUCAAAAACUGGACACGGCACAAAAUGGGCUUUGUGAAGUUUCUGUCGUUGACUGAAAACGCUGUCCCGUCAGUAUACACGGUUGGUGCUUCCCAUACAUUGAAGCCCCUAACAAGAGAUGUGGCCUGUCAGUGUGAUCCUCCAAAUGUGAAGAGUGUGUCAGUCCGCACGGAAAAACAAAAGCAGAAAGUACGGAGUAAAGGGGUUCAAGUGAAGCCUUGCUGGUUGCAGCCGGUUGACACCUCGUUUUCUGAUGCCAAUUCUGCACCUUCAUGUUUCACAUCAACACCAAUUAAAAGACCAAGGAUAGAAGUGUCCACAUUCAGUGAGAACUCAGAGUGCACCUCGAAAGACCUGUCAGACUUCUGUGAGCCUAAUGUUAAGGAAGAGGACAAUGAAAAGUCUGUUCAAACUGCCUCAGUAAAAGAAUGGAAGAGUGAGCCUUACACCUGAAGCACAUCUGCUAGAAAUAAGAUUUUUCAACACAGAGGAAUUAAGUGGAACGUUAAACAGAUAGUUCCAAAAGGGCAUUGUCCCAAGUAUAAAUGACACAUGAGGAACCUGGAUUGCAACGAGGGGUUGUCCAUUCUGUUAGUCCAGAAAAUUAAUGCACUUGGAAAACAGCAUAGUUGUAGUGAGGUUCUGGCCUGAAAGAAAAGUAUCAUCAACCAACAGUGGUCUGCAUCCUCCAAGAUGGGUAAAGCAGCAGCCAUGGAAAUACCGAAGUCCAUCUUUAAAGUUCACCAUCAUAAGAGCUACUUUUUGCUGGUCUGUGACCACCCAUCUCAUGGGAUGAGUUUUGAUUGUAGAAUUUUUGUAUUAUUUUGUUGAUGUCAAAUGCUGUCCGAUUAGUCUAGUUCAGGGGUUCUCAAUCUCGGUCCUGGAGGUCCAGUGUCCUGCAUAUUUUAGCUUCAACUCCAAUUAGACCUGGCCUAGCUAAUCAAGCUCUUACUGGGCUCUCUAGAAACAUCCUUGCAAGUGUGUUGAGACAGGUUGGAGCUAAAAUCUGCAGGACAGCACAUCUCCAGGACCAAGAACAGCUCAUCUAAGUUUGGUCAAUCAACUUUAAGUAGACCAACUCAGUGGCUGUUUCUUAAUACCAAGAACGCAGAGAGCAGCUUGCGAUCUUGUGAAGACCGGCCUUGCCAGUUCACCUUGUAAGAAGGAACUCGCGAGAACAGAGAAUGUGUCCUCUGAGAAAUGAGAUGCUGCAUUCUUCCUAAUGGUCACAUGACCUUCAUAUGUUUUUAAUGGAAAAAUAU
Non-coding RNA from Danio rerio (zebrafish), 1464 nucleotides. The record is from RefSeq and is a predicted model, not a curated record. NCBI's taxonomy places the organism in Eukaryota, Metazoa, Chordata, Actinopteri, Cypriniformes, Danionidae.